AAAAAUCCCAAACCCCACAAAAACGUAAUUCAAUAUCCCCAAUUCCAGAAGACAUUCAAUCUUUUUCCACUGGAGGUUUCUCCUCUUUAGAAUUUGUUGUUAUAACAUGCAAUCCAAAUUCUACAUCUGCGACCAUAUUUGUUGAUGGGGGUCCCAUAAAUUGAUUGUUGUUUCUAAGUCGAAUAAUCGAUCGGAACCAGAGGUCUCGUCUUCUUUUCCUUGUGCACAUCUCACUCUCAUCUUUGUAUAACAAUUUAAUUUUAUGAAAGAGGUAAGAUCCUAUAGCAAUCAAUGAUUUAAUUAUCUCGGCCUUUGGGCUUUAUGUUUAAUAUUUUUCAUUUGUAUUUUAUGAAUUAAGCGGUCCCAAUUGCUUCAGUUGUUGUUAAGUUUCAAGGUUUUUCUGGAUAAUGAAAGUUUCAAUUGCCGUUAAAUGUUGCAUAUGUAUUAUGUUGUGUUGUAGUGCAAGUUUGCUGUUAGAGAUGCUUUCGUUCA
This 492-nucleotide long non-coding RNA is filed under the name Olea europaea subsp. europaea. Lineage: Eukaryota; Viridiplantae; Streptophyta; Magnoliopsida; Lamiales; Oleaceae. The record is from RNAcentral.